RNAcentral lists this ribosomal RNA (253 nucleotides) under uncultured bacterium. RNAcentral's name for it is "partial 16S ribosomal RNA". It matches the Rfam family "Bacterial small subunit ribosomal RNA", at positions 524 to 776 of the family's 1533-position model. The record is from RNAcentral.
UACAGAGGUCUCGAGCGUUAGGCGGAAUUACUGGGCGUAAAGGGCGCGUAGGCGGCCUUCUAAGUCGAACGUGAAAUCCCCGGGCUCAACCCGGGAACUGCGUCCGAUACUGGAAGGCUUGAAUCCGGGAGAGGGAUGCGGAAUUCCAGGUGUAGCGGUGAAAUGCGUAGAUAUCUGGAGGAACACCGGUGGCGAAGGCGGCAUCCUGGACCGGCAUUGACGCUGAGGCGCGAAAGCCAGGGGAGCAAACGGG